GCCGGAGUGGCGGAAUGGCAGACGCGGCGGACUCAAAAUCCGUUGGCCGCAAGGCCGUGAAGGUUCGACUCCUUUCUCCGGCA
Molecule: transfer RNA, 83 nt
Filed under: Acidobacteriota bacterium
Lineage: Bacteria; Pseudomonadati; Acidobacteriota
Also listed under: 1 other name
Description: Acidobacteria bacterium tRNA-Leu
Rfam family: tRNA
About the family: Transfer RNA (tRNA) molecules are approximately 80 nucleotides in length. Their secondary structure includes four short double-helical elements and three loops (D, anti-codon, and T loops).
Source: RNAcentral